AGACCGGUUUACUGGUCGUGCUUUUGUACGUACUGGUAUUAUUGGUUUCUCCUUUCUGACGAAUCUUAAUGCCAUUAAUUUGGUGUUUUGGGGAAUCAGGACUGUUACUUUGAAAAAAUUAGAGUGUUUAAAGCAGGCUCACGCUUGAAUACAUUAGCAUGGAAUAACGGAAUAGGACGUUUGAUUCUAUUUUGUUGGUUUCUAGGAUCGACGUA
Molecule: ribosomal RNA, 215 nt
Filed under: uncultured Glomus
Lineage: Eukaryota; Fungi; Glomeromycota; Glomeromycetes; Glomerales; Glomeraceae
Also listed under: 1 other name
Description: partial small subunit ribosomal RNA
Rfam family: Eukaryotic small subunit ribosomal RNA (bases 46-215)
Source: RNAcentral